Molecule: long non-coding RNA, 667 nt
Organism: Juglans microcarpa x Juglans regia
Lineage: Eukaryota; Viridiplantae; Streptophyta; Magnoliopsida; Fagales; Juglandaceae
Exons: 4
Source: RefSeq, a predicted model, not a curated record
CCCUGUUUCGAAGACCAGCAAACAAUUGGUCAGUUGACAGAAGACUGAGGAGAGACACUAAUUUCAGCAUUGAGAAGGGUAGGAGGGAGAGCUUUCAGUUACAUGGCGGUUGGUUACAACAACAUUGAUGUCAAUGCUGCUAACAGGUAUGGUGUUGCUGUUGGAAACACUCCUGUUUAUUCGAAACCUGCUUAAAGGACAGACUGUAGGGGGUGAUUGGAGUUGGUCGCAUUGGAUCUGCUUAUGCCAAAAGGAUGGUUUAAGGAUUCAAGAUGAACCUAAUUUACUAUGAUCUUUACCAGGCCAUACGCCUAGAAAAGUUUGUGAGAGGCAUGCCAAAGUGAACCAUUGAUGUUAAAAAGUUAUGUGCUUCUUUUUCUCAGAAUGAAAAGAAAAGGAGAGGGAAAACUUGUAUACGAGUUUAUGCACUUUUUCUCAGAAGUAGUCAAGGAACUGCUCCUUGUGUAUGAGUUUAUGUAGAGGAGAAACUUGGAUCAUCAUCUUUGUAGAAGUAUAACUUUUAUGAGAAAAUCAAGAAAAUAAAAUCACUUGUGCAUGGAUUAUAUAUAAAUGAGAUUUUUUGUUAGUUUUUAGUCUUUUACCAUGUAUACAUAUUUAUGCUAUCAAGUGUUUUAUGCUUCCAAAGUUUAGAUGAACAUUUGAUAUA